AAACUACUCCCUCUGUCCCAAAUUUCUUGUCUUAGAUUUGUCUAGAUAAAGAUGUAUCUAAUACUAAAAUGUGACUUGAUACAUCCGUAUCUAGACAAAUCUAAGACAAGAAUUUUGGGACGGAGGGAGUACUUU
Molecule: non-coding RNA, 135 nt
Organism: Triticum aestivum (bread wheat)
Lineage: Eukaryota; Viridiplantae; Streptophyta; Magnoliopsida; Poales; Poaceae
Source: Rfam